This 58-nucleotide transfer RNA is filed under the name Neotoma lepida (desert woodrat). It matches the Rfam family "tRNA", at positions 8 to 63 of the family's 71-position model. From Rfam's summary of the family: Transfer RNA (tRNA) molecules are approximately 80 nucleotides in length. Their secondary structure includes four short double-helical elements and three loops (D, anti-codon, and T loops). The record is from Rfam by way of RNAcentral. Lineage: Eukaryota; Metazoa; Chordata; Mammalia; Rodentia; Cricetidae.
UAGCUCAAUGGUUAAGAGCACUGGCUGUUCUCCCAGAGGACCUGGGUUCAAUUCCCAG